AAUUAGAGAGCUUGUAAAUAAGCAUCUGGCUUUUAAUCAGAAGAAACCAUAAUGGUUCUAGUUA
This 64-nucleotide transfer RNA is filed under the name Erpobdella sp. JP-2021. RNAcentral's name for it is "tRNA-Lys". The record is from RNAcentral. Lineage: Eukaryota; Metazoa; Annelida; Clitellata; Hirudinida; Erpobdellidae.